This 74-nucleotide transfer RNA is filed under the name Sus scrofa (pig). It matches the Rfam family "tRNA". Rfam says of the family: Transfer RNA (tRNA) molecules are approximately 80 nucleotides in length. Their secondary structure includes four short double-helical elements and three loops (D, anti-codon, and T loops). Further hydrogen bonds mediate the characteristic L-shaped molecular structure. tRNAs have two regions of fundamental functional importance: the anti-codon, which is responsible for specific mRNA codon recognition, and the 3' end, to which the tRNAs corresponding amino acid is attached (by aminoacyl-tRNA synthetases). tRNAs cope with the degeneracy of the genetic code in two manners: having more than one tRNA (with a specific anti-codon) for a particular amino acid; and 'wobble' base-pairing, i.e. permitting non-standard base-pairing at the 3rd anti-codon position. Lineage: Eukaryota; Metazoa; Chordata; Mammalia; Artiodactyla; Suidae. The record is from Rfam by way of RNAcentral.
UCCCAGGUGACCUAGCAGGUUAAAGAUACAGCACUGUCACUGCUGUGGCUCAGGUUCAAUCCCUGGCCUGGGAA